RNAcentral lists this ribosomal RNA (443 nucleotides) under uncultured bacterium. RNAcentral's name for it is "partial 16S ribosomal RNA". It matches the Rfam family "Bacterial small subunit ribosomal RNA", at positions 338 to 795 of the family's 1533-position model. The record is from RNAcentral.
CCUACGGGGUGCAGCAGUGGGGAAUAUUGGGCAAUGGGCGCAAGCCUGACCCAGCAACGCCGCGUGAAGGAAGAAGGCUUUCGGGUUGUAAACUUCUUUUGUCAGGGACGAAGCAAGUGACGGUACUUGACGAAUAAGCCACGGCUAACUACGUGCCAGCAGCCGCGGCAAUACGUAGGCGGCAAGCGUUAUUCGGAUUUACUGGGUGUAAAGGGCGUGUAGGCGGGACUGCAAGUCAGAUGUGAAAACCACGGGCUCAACCUGUGGCCUGCAUUUGAAACUGUAGUGCUUGAGUACUGGAGAGGCAGACGGAAUUCCUAGUGUAGCGGUGAAAUGCGUAGAUAUGAGGAAGAACACCAGUGGCGAAGGCGGUCUGCUGGACAGCAACUGACGCUGAGGCGCGAAAGCGUGGGGAGCAAACAGGAUUAGAUACCCUGGUAGUC